UACGGGAGGCAGCAGUGGGGAAUAUUGCACAAUGGGCGAAAGCCUGAUGCAGCUAUGCCGCGUGUAUGAAGAAGGCCUUAGGGUUGUAAAGUACUUUCAUCGGGGAGGAAAACAAAACUAAUAAUUUUAUUUCUUGACGUUACCCGAAAAAGAAGCACCGGCUAACUCCGUGCCAGCAGCCGCGGUAAUACGGAGGGUGCUAGCGUUAAUCAGAAUUACUGGGCGUAAAGAGCACGUAGGUGGUUUUUUUAAGUCAGAUGUGAAAUCCCUGGGCUUAACCUAGGAACUGCAUUUUGAAACUGAAAUACUAGAGUAUCGUAGAGGGAGGUAGAAUUCUAGGUGUAGCGGUGAAAUGCGUAGAUAUCUGGAGGAAUACCUGUGGCGAAAGCGGCCUCCUAAACGAAUACUGACACUGAGGUGCGAAAGCGUGGGGAGCAAACAGGGAUUAGAUACCCUCUGAGACGCCAACGGACAACAC
Molecule: ribosomal RNA, 478 nt
Filed under: uncultured bacterium
Lineage: Bacteria
Description: bacterial SSU rRNA
Rfam family: Bacterial small subunit ribosomal RNA
Source: RNAcentral